UGGGUUGUGGCUCAGUGGUAGAGUGCUUGCCUAGCAUGUGUGAGGCACUGGGUUCAAUUCUUAGCAUCACAU
Molecule: transfer RNA, 72 nt
Filed under: Ictidomys tridecemlineatus (thirteen-lined ground squirrel)
Lineage: Eukaryota; Metazoa; Chordata; Mammalia; Rodentia; Sciuridae
Description: Spermophilus tridecemlineatus (thirteen-lined ground squirrel) tRNA
Rfam family: tRNA
About the family: Transfer RNA (tRNA) molecules are approximately 80 nucleotides in length.
Source: Rfam by way of RNAcentral